Molecule: long non-coding RNA, 1033 nt
Filed under: Junco hyemalis (dark-eyed junco)
Lineage: Eukaryota; Metazoa; Chordata; Aves; Passeriformes; Passerellidae
Description: lncRNA (ENSJHYG00000003509.1)
Source: RNAcentral
AUGGAAAAGCACAAACUCACUGGCAGCUUCUUCAUUUGCUUCUUCUUUUUUCUUCUUUGUUUUCUUCUUCUUUUCUUCUUCUUCUCAUGGCAGAGCUCAUCUCCUCCCAUUUCCUUGGGAGACCCGGCUCUGCUCUUCAUAAAAAGCACAAAGUCACUGGCAGCUUUUUCUUCUUCUUCCUUCUUCUUUUCAUUUUCUUCUUCUUCUCAUGGCAGAGCUCCUCUCUUCCCAUCUCCUUUGGAGGCCUGGCUCUGCUCUCCACGGAAAAGCACAAAGUCACUGGCAGCUUCUUCAUUUUCUUCUUCUUUCUUCUCCUUUUUUCUUCUUCUUUCUCAUUUUCUCCUUCUUCUCAAGGCAGAGCUCCUCUAUUCCCAUUUCCUUUGGAGGCCUGGCUCUGCUCUCCAUGGAAAAGCACAAAAGCUGACAAAGUGGCAGCUUCUUCAUUUGCUUCUUCUCUCCCAUCCCCAGCAAUGAUCCCACACCUAAGUGCUUUUUCCCACUGAAGGAUUGUGUCCUUAAAAAUGCCAAAAUGCUGAAGCCCUUUCUUAUUAAAGCUCCUGGGCCAGAAAAGGCGAGGAGAGGGAAAGAUAAGGAAGGAUGAAACACUGUUCACCCUUUAGAGUUUGGGAAGUUUAUGUGGGAAAACUGAAAAUGCAAACUUCACUGCUCCUGAAGACAUCAUUGGGACAAAGCUCUCCCAGUUUAUUUGUUCUGUCAUUUUAAUGUGAAAAACCCCAAAAUGAGCCCCUGUGUCCAUCAGAUUCGUCACUGCAGACCAAGAGCAUCCUGCUCAAGGAUUCUGCAUCUCAGCUGCACUGACUCCAGCCUGUAUCCAGUGGCACUUUUCCAGCUUCCAAAGGCACUACAACACGAUACCAACCACCCCUUUCAGUUCUUUAAUUAGUGGUAUGGUGAUGGUUUCAGAUCAGACACACCAGGAAUUAAAAAGCAGCCGCCACACCUUGAGUUUCAGAAAAGGUUCUGGCACAAAGCUUCUCUGGGUUUACAAACUCAGCUUCCUGACACACCUGCA